CACGCCGUAAACGAUGAAUACUAGGUGUGGGGGGGCUGACCCUCUCCGUGCCGGAGUUAACACAAUAAGUAUUCCACCUGGGGAGUACGGCCGCAAGGUUGAAACUCAAAGGAAUUGACGGGGGCCCGCACAAGCAGUGGAUUAUGUGGUUUAAUUCGAAGCAACGCGAAGAACCUUACCAGGGUUUGACAUCCAACUAACGAAGCAGAGAUGCAUUAGGUGCCCUUCGGGGAAAGUUGAGACAGGUGG
RNAcentral lists this ribosomal RNA (249 nucleotides) under uncultured Oscillospiraceae bacterium. Its description in RNAcentral is "partial 16S ribosomal RNA". It matches the Rfam family "Bacterial small subunit ribosomal RNA", at positions 796 to 1041 of the family's 1533-position model. Lineage: Bacteria; Bacillati; Bacillota; Clostridia; Eubacteriales; Oscillospiraceae. The record is from RNAcentral.